Molecule: non-coding RNA, 71 nt
Organism: Stegodyphus dumicola
Lineage: Eukaryota; Metazoa; Arthropoda; Arachnida; Araneae; Eresidae
Source: the annotation of a RefSeq genome assembly
GCUCUCGUGGUGUAGCGGUAGCACACUCGACGCCUACUCGAGAGGUCUAGGUUCGAGUCCCAGCAAGGGCA